This 489-nucleotide ribosomal RNA is filed under the name uncultured bacterium. RNAcentral describes it as "partial 16S ribosomal RNA". It matches the Rfam family "Bacterial small subunit ribosomal RNA", at positions 355 to 834 of the family's 1533-position model. The record is from RNAcentral.
UAGGGAAUCUUCGGCAAUGGACGAAAGUCUGACCGAGCAACGCCGCGUGAGUGAAGAAGGUUUUCGGAUCGUAAAACUCUGUUGUUAGAGAAGAACGUUGCAUAGAGUGGAAAAUUAUGCAAGUGACGGUAUCUAACCAGAAAGGGACGGCUAACUACGUGCCAGCAGCCGCGGUAAUACGUAGGUCCCGAGCGUUGUCCGGAUUUAUUGGGCGUAAAGCGAGCGCAGGUGGUUUAAUAAGUCUGAUGUAAAAAGGCAGUGGCUCAACCAUUGUGUGCAUUGGAAACUGUUAGACUUGAGUGCAGUAGAGGAGAGUGGAAUUCCAUGUGUAGCGGUGAAAUGCGUAGAUAUAUGGAGGAACACCGGUGGCGAAAAGCGGCUCUCUGGACUGUCACUGACACUGAGGCUCGAAAGCGUGGGUAGCAAACAGGAUUAGAUACCCUGGUAGUCCACGCCGUAAACGAUGAGUGCUAGUUGUUUGGGGCUAUC